CCUACGGGAGGCAGCAGUGGGGAAUAUUGGACAAUGGGGGGAACCCUGAUCCAGCGACGCCGCGUGAGUGAAGAAGUAUUUCGGUAUGUAAAGCUCUAUCAGCAGGGAAGAAAGAAAUGACGGUACCUGACUAAGAAGCCCCGGCUAACUACGUGCCAGCAGCCGCGGUAAUACGGAGGGGGCAAGCGUUAUCCGGAUUUACUGGGUGUAAAGGGAGCGUAGGCGGCGAUGCAAGUCUGAAGUGAAAGGCGGGGGCCCAACCCCCGGACUGCCUUGGAAACUGUAUGGCUGGAGUGCAGGAGAGGUAAGUGGAAUGCCUAGUGUAGCGGUGAAAUGCGUAGAUAUUAGGAGGAACACCAGUGGCGAAGGCGGCUUACUGGACUGUAACUGACGUUGAGGCUCGAAAGCGUGGGGAGCGAACAGGAUUAGAUACCCCAGUAGUC
Molecule: ribosomal RNA, 443 nt
Filed under: uncultured bacterium
Lineage: Bacteria
Description: partial 16S ribosomal RNA
Rfam family: Bacterial small subunit ribosomal RNA
Source: RNAcentral